Molecule: ribosomal RNA, 468 nt
Filed under: uncultured bacterium
Lineage: Bacteria
Description: partial 16S ribosomal RNA
Rfam family: Bacterial small subunit ribosomal RNA
Source: RNAcentral
GACGAACGCUGGCGGCGUGCUUAACACAUGCAAGUCGAACGGAAAGGCCCUGCUUUUGUGGGGUGCUCGAGUGGCGAACGGGUGAGUAACACGUGAGUAACCUGCCCUUGACUUUGGGAUAACUUCAGGAAACUGGAGCUAAUACCGGAUAGGAGCUCCUGCAGCAUGGUGGGGGUGGGAAAGUUUCGGCGGGUGGGGAUGGACUCGCGGCUUAUCAGCUUGUUGGUGGGGUAGUGGCUUACCAAGGCUUUGACGGGUAGCCGGCCUGAGAGGGUGACCGGCCCCAUUGGGACUGAGAUACGGCCCAGACUCCUACGGGAGGCAGCAGUGGGGAAUAUUGCACAAUGGGCGGAAGCCUGAUGCAGCAACGCCGCGUGCGGGAUGACGGCCUUCGGGUUGUAAACCGCUUUCGCCUGUGACGAAGCGUGAGUGACGGUAAUGGGUAAAGAAGCACCGGCUAACUACGUG